UACGUAGGUGGCAAGCGUUGUCCGGAAUUAUUGGGCGUAAAGCGCGCGAAGGCGGUCCUUUAAGUCUGAUGUGAAAGCCCACGGCUCAACCGUGGAGGGUCAUUGGAAACUGGGGGACUUGAGUACAGAAGAGGAAAGCGGAAUUCCACGUGUAGCGGUGAAAUGCGUAGAGAUGUGGAGGAACACCAGUGGCGAAGGCGGCUUUCUGGUCUGUAACUGACGCUGAGGCGCGAAAGCGUGGGGAGCAAACAGG
Molecule: ribosomal RNA, 253 nt
Filed under: uncultured bacterium
Lineage: Bacteria
Description: partial 16S ribosomal RNA
Rfam family: Bacterial small subunit ribosomal RNA
Source: RNAcentral